AGAGCGAACGCUGGCGGCAGGCCUAACACAUGCAAGUCGAGCGCCCCGCAAGGGGAGCGGCAGACGGGAGAGUAACACGUGGGAACGUACCCUUUGGUUCGGAACAACACAGGGAAACUUGUGCUAAUACCGGAUAAGCCCUUACGGGGAAAGAUUUAUUGCCAAAGGAUCGGCCCGCGUCUGAUUAGCUUGUUGGUGAGGUAACGGCUCACCAAGGCUACGAUCAGUAGCUGGUCUGAGAGGAUGAUCAGCCUCACUGGGACUGAGACACGGCCCAGACUCCUACGGGAGGCAGCAGUGGGGAAUAUUGGACAAUGGGCGCAAGCCUGAUCCAGCCAUGCCGCGUGGAUGAUGAAGGCCCUAGGGUUGUAAAGUCCUUUCGACGGGGAAGAUAAUGACGGUACCCGUAGAAGAAGCCCCGGCUAACUUCGUGCCAGCAGCCGC
This 444-nucleotide ribosomal RNA is filed under the name uncultured bacterium. RNAcentral describes it as "SSU rRNA". It matches the Rfam family "Bacterial small subunit ribosomal RNA", at positions 26 to 518 of the family's 1533-position model. The record is from RNAcentral.